This 253-nucleotide ribosomal RNA is filed under the name uncultured bacterium. Its description in RNAcentral is "partial 16S ribosomal RNA". It matches the Rfam family "Bacterial small subunit ribosomal RNA", at positions 524 to 776 of the family's 1533-position model. The record is from RNAcentral.
UACGUAGGCAGCAAGCGUUGUUCGGAAUUACUGGGCGUAAAGAGUGUGUAGGCGGUGCUCCAAGUCUGGUGUGAAAUCUCCCGGCUUAACUGGGAGGGUGCAUUAGAAACUGGAAUGCUAGAGGAUGGGAGAGGUAAGCGGAAUUCCUGGUGUAGCGGUGAAAUGCGUAGGUAUCAGGAGGAACACCUGUGGUGUAGACAGCUUACUGGACCAUUUCUGACGCUGAGACACGAAAGCGUGGGUAGCAAACAGG